RNAcentral lists this unclassified non-coding RNA (291 nucleotides) under Hevea brasiliensis (rubber tree). The record is from RNAcentral. Lineage: Eukaryota; Viridiplantae; Streptophyta; Magnoliopsida; Malpighiales; Euphorbiaceae.
AGGAAGAAAGAUUGAAAAGGUUGAAGCACAGGAUGAAGGUUUAUUUCGAUGCUUCGAGGUCAGAUCACCAGGUGUGGUUUCAUAUUCAUUUUCUGUGGUUCCAAUGUGCAUCCUAGUUACUUGAUUCCAAUCUAAACUUGAUCCACUGCGGUCCAUAACGCCAACAAUGUUGUUCUCACAUAUAAUCAAAACUCUCGUGCACAACACACAGAUGCAAUGGUUUAAAACUUACACACCUUCUGGGUUCGUUUUAUACUUCUUGGGCAACUAGUAAUGAAAUUUUCACGAGGA